Molecule: ribosomal RNA, 585 nt
Filed under: uncultured bacterium
Lineage: Bacteria
Description: bacterial SSU rRNA
Rfam family: Bacterial small subunit ribosomal RNA
Source: RNAcentral
GCCUACCAUGCAAGUCGAACGGUUAAAGCACCUCCGGGUGUGCAUAAAGUGGCGAACGGCUGAGUAACACGUGGGCAACCUGCCCCUCGCACCGGGACAGCCUCGGGAAACCGUGGAUAAUACCGGAUACUCCGGACCCCCCGCAUGGGGGGACCGGGAAAGCCCAGACGGCGAGGGAUGGGCCCGCGGCCUGUUAGCUAGUUGGUGGGGCAACGGCCCACCAAGGCGAUUAUGGGUAGCUGGGUUGAGAGACCGACCAGCCAGAUUGGGACUGAGACACGGCCCAGACUCCUACGGGAGGCAGCAGUGGGGAAUCUUGCGCAAUGGGCGAAAGCCUGACGCAGCGACGCCGCGUGCGGGACGAAGGCCUUCGGGUCGUAAACCGCUUUCAGCAGGGACGAGGGGGAGACCUGACGGUACCUGCAGAAGAAGCCCCGGCUAACUACGUGCCAGCGGCCGCGGUAAUACGUAGGGGGCGAGCGUUAUCCGGAUUCAUUGGGCGUAAAGCGCUCGUAGGCGGUCCGUUAGGUCGGGAGUCAAAUCCGGGGGCUCAACCCCCGCCCGCUCCCGAUACCGGCGGACUUG